GUCAUAUGCUUGUCUCAAAGAUUAAGCCAUGCAUGUCUCAGUACAAGCCAAAUUAAGGUGAAACCGCGAAAGGCUCAUUAAAUCAGUUAUGGUUCCUUAGAUCGUACCCACAAUUACUUGGAUAACUGUGGUAAUUCUAGAGCUAAUACAUGCAAACAGAGCUCCGACCGGAGACGGAAGGAGUGCUUUUAUUAGAUCAAAACCAAUCGGUGGCGGGUUCGCGCCCGUCAUCGUACAACUUGGUGACUCUGAAUAACUUUACGCUGAUCGCACGGUCAUCGCACCGGCGACGCAUCUUUCAAAUGUCUGCCUUAUCAACUGUCGAUGGUAGGUUCUGCGCCUACCAUGGUUGUAACGGGUAACGGGGAAUCAGGGUUCGAUUCCGGAGAGGGAGCCUGAGAAACGGCUACCACAUCCAAGGAAGGCAGCAGGCGCGCAAAUUACCCACUCCCGGCACGGGGAGGUAGUGACGAAAAAUAACGAUACGGGACUCAUCCGAGGCCCCGUAAUCGGAAUGAGUACACUCUAAACCCUUUAACGAGGAUCAAUUGGAGGGCAAGUCUGGUGCCAGCAGCCGCGGUAAUUCCAGCUCCAAUAGCGUAUAUUAAAGUUGUUGCGGUUAAAAAGCUCGUAGUCGAAUUUGUGUCUCGCGCCGCCGGUUCAUCGUCCGCGGUGUUAACUGGCGAGUCGCGAGACGUCCUGCCGGUGGGCUUAGCUCGCGAGGGCGGCCCAACUCAAUCCUGCCGCGGUGCUCUUCAUUGAGUGUCGAGGUGGGCCGGCACGUUUACUUUGAACAAAUUAGAGUGCUUAAAGCAGGCUAAAACUUCGCCUGAAUACUGUGUGCAUGGAAUAAUGGAAUAGGACCUCGGUUCUAUUUUGUUGGUUUUCGGAACCCCGAGGUAAUGAUUAAUAGGAACGGAUGGGGGCAUUCGUAUUGCGACGUUAGAGGUGAAAUUCUUGGAUCGUCGC
Molecule: ribosomal RNA, 969 nt
Filed under: Trigonopterus sp. 907 AR-2022a
Lineage: Eukaryota; Metazoa; Arthropoda; Insecta; Coleoptera; Curculionidae
Description: SSU rRNA
Rfam family: Eukaryotic small subunit ribosomal RNA
Source: RNAcentral